UCAACUCUCUCCAUAAAAUGACAU
This 24-nucleotide small nuclear RNA is filed under the name Arabidopsis thaliana (thale cress). RNAcentral describes it as "snRNA_18293". The record is from RNAcentral. Lineage: Eukaryota; Viridiplantae; Streptophyta; Magnoliopsida; Brassicales; Brassicaceae.